UUUGCUAAACUUUCUCCCCUUUCCUCUUCCGCUUCCCCUCCCCUUGGGUUGCAAUGCAGUGCCAUUGCCAGGUACCCUCCUUUAUAUUCUCUCUAGUCUACCCAAUUUUAUCUAUUCGAUGAUUCUGAUUUUUGUUAUCUAUCUUUCUUUUUUUUCAAUCUCUUAGCAAAUUUGCGUGAUCGAUCCAAGAAUUAUUUAUCCUGUUUAAGCAGUACAACUAGUGAAGUAGAAAUUUGCAGAUUGCCCCUAUUAUCACCCUCAUUGAUAUGCAUUUCUUUUGAGUUGACCUCCGUUCUUGUUUUUAUUUUAAUCUUUUAAUUCUUUUUCUUGAUGUUCUCGUUUUACUGUAGUUGAUUUGGGUAAAUGUUAUGGUUAGGCUUGAGUGGUGUAAUCCCUACCCAGAAAUCAACAUUUCCUGUAGUCCUUAUAUAAUUGAAGAGUAGAAAGGAACGAACAGAGCAUCCUUGGUUUUAGUCUUACAGAUUCUUGUCAAAUGCCCAUUGACACGCUGCCAUCCAUAACCUAAAGUAUGAGAGCAAGUAGGUCUUCCUUUAGCACUAGCGAUGGGCAUGAAGAAGUUCAUUUUCACAGUGCUGCUUAUAUUUCAAAUUGGGACGAUUAUGAUAUAUGAGCAAAUAAACCUAUGAUAUUUUCUGACCAAUUGUGAUUGUAUAACAUUUUCAUGUGUGUUUUAUUGUGCACUAAUUGGCUUGUAAGAUUGGUUUAUAUGAUGCAAAGUAAUUGAACCUUUGUCUAUUCAGUUGAAGAAUAAUCUUUCACAAAGUGAUGUAUACAAGAUGGCUGAUUAGGUUGUGAAAAGUUAUAUCGACUUUGUUCACUUGUAAUCUUGGUUUACAUGUUCAUAGGUUAGAGAAUUUGUAUUCUGAAGCAUAGGGUUUUGUGAGGAGUAAUGUAAUUUUGUUACAGGCUUUAUUAAUAUAGAUGUAAUGUAAUUCAGCUGAUGCCAAAGAAGAUGGUUCAAAUUUGAGCUGGUUUUGCAUCUUCAUUUUAAUUCUGUUGGCAAUAAUAGAUGGUCCCG
Molecule: long non-coding RNA, 1039 nt
Filed under: Gossypium barbadense (sea-island cotton)
Lineage: Eukaryota; Viridiplantae; Streptophyta; Magnoliopsida; Malvales; Malvaceae
Description: long non-coding RNA (GBAR_LNC019230)
Source: RNAcentral